CCCUUGUACACACCGCCCGUCACACCAUGGGAGUUGGCUUUACCCGAAGACGGUGCGCUAACCGCAAGGAGGCAGCCGGCCACGGUAAGGUCAGCGACUGGGGUG
RNAcentral lists this ribosomal RNA (105 nucleotides) under uncultured bacterium. Its description in RNAcentral is "partial 16S ribosomal RNA". It matches the Rfam family "Bacterial small subunit ribosomal RNA", at positions 1378 to 1482 of the family's 1533-position model. The record is from RNAcentral.